GUGGAUGUAGCUCAGUGGUAGAGCUCCUGACUGUGGAUCAGGUGGUCGUGGGUUCAAACCCCAUCAUCCACC
RNAcentral lists this transfer RNA (72 nucleotides) under Candidatus Poribacteria bacterium. RNAcentral describes it as "tRNA-His". It matches the Rfam family "tRNA". Rfam says of the family: Transfer RNA (tRNA) molecules are approximately 80 nucleotides in length. Their secondary structure includes four short double-helical elements and three loops (D, anti-codon, and T loops). Further hydrogen bonds mediate the characteristic L-shaped molecular structure. tRNAs have two regions of fundamental functional importance: the anti-codon, which is responsible for specific mRNA codon recognition, and the 3' end, to which the tRNAs corresponding amino acid is attached (by aminoacyl-tRNA synthetases). tRNAs cope with the degeneracy of the genetic code in two manners: having more than one tRNA (with a specific anti-codon) for a particular amino acid; and 'wobble' base-pairing, i.e. permitting non-standard base-pairing at the 3rd anti-codon position. Lineage: Bacteria; Candidatus Poribacteria. The record is from RNAcentral.